RNAcentral lists this transfer RNA (75 nucleotides) under Sphaerodactylus townsendi. RNAcentral's name for it is "tRNA-Ala". The record is from RNAcentral. Lineage: Eukaryota; Metazoa; Chordata; Lepidosauria; Squamata; Sphaerodactylidae.
GGAAGAGUGAUGCUUCAGUGGCCGAGCAUCUGCUUGGCAUGCAGAAGGCCCCAGGCUCAAUUCCCAGCAUUUCCA